Molecule: ribosomal RNA, 491 nt
Filed under: uncultured bacterium
Lineage: Bacteria
Description: bacterial SSU rRNA
Rfam family: Bacterial small subunit ribosomal RNA
Source: RNAcentral
UGAACGCUGGCGGCGUGCUUAACACAUGCAAGUCGAACGAAGCUCUGCUUAAGGAUCUUUUGGAGUGACUAAAGUAGAUGACUGAGUGGCGGACGGGUGAGUAACGCGUGGGUAACCUGCCCUAUACAGGGGGAUAGCAGUUGGAAACGACUGAUAAUACCGCAUAAGCGCACGGUAUCGCAUGAUACAGUGUGAAAAACUCCGGUGGUAUAGGAUGGACCCGCGUCUGAUUAGCUAGUUGGUGAGGUAACGGCUCACCAAGGCAACGAUCAGUAGCCGACCUGAGAGGGUGACCGGCCACAUUGGGACUGAGACACGGCCCAAACUCCUACGGGAGGCAGCAGUGGGGAAUAUUGCACAAUGGGCGAAAGCCUGAUGCAGCCGACGCCGCGUGAGUGAUGAAGUAUUUCGGUAUGUAAAGCUCUAUCAGCAGGGAAGAUAAUGACGGUACCUGACUAAGAAGCACCGGCUAAAUACGUGCCAGCCGCCGC